UACGAGGGGGGCAAGCGUUGUUCGGAAUUAUUGGGCGUAAAGGGUGCGUAGGCGGCGCGGUAUGUCUCUUGUGAAAUCUCCAGGCUCAACUUGGAGUCUGCAAGGGAAACUGCCGUGCUUGAGUACUGGAGAGGUGAGUGGAAUUCCCGGGUGUAGCGGUGAAAUGCGUAGAUAUCGGGGAGGAACACCUGUGGCGAAAGCGGCUCACUGGACAGUAACUGACGCUGAUGCACGAAAGCUAGGGGAGCAAACAGG
Molecule: ribosomal RNA, 255 nt
Filed under: uncultured bacterium
Lineage: Bacteria
Description: partial 16S ribosomal RNA
Rfam family: Bacterial small subunit ribosomal RNA
Source: RNAcentral